GACGAACGCUGGCGGCGUGCCUAAUACAUGCAAGUGGAACGCAUUGAUAUCACCGGAGCUUGCUCCACCGAUAUAAAUGAGUCGCGAACGGGUGAGUAACGCGUAGGUAACCUGCCUGAUAGCGGGGGAUAACUAUUGGAAACGAUAGCUAAUACCGCAUGAGAGUGUUUAACACAUGUUAGAGACUUAAAAGAUACAAUUGUAUCACUAUCAGAUGGACCUGCGUUGUAUUAGCUAGUUGGUAGGGUAGCGGCCUACCAAGGCAACGAUACAUAGCCGACCUGAGAGGGUGAUCGGCCACACUGGGACUGAGACACGGCCCAGACUCCUACGGGAGGCAGCAGUAGGGAAUCUUCGGCAAUGGACGAAAGUCUGACCGAGCAACGCCGCGUGAGUGAAGAAGGUUUUCGGAUCGUAAAGCUCUGUUGUAGCGGAAGAACGCGUGUAAGAGUGGAAAGUUACACAGUGACGUACGUACCAGAAAG
Molecule: ribosomal RNA, 485 nt
Filed under: Streptococcus downei
Lineage: Bacteria; Bacillati; Bacillota; Bacilli; Lactobacillales; Streptococcaceae
Description: bacterial SSU rRNA
Rfam family: Bacterial small subunit ribosomal RNA
Source: RNAcentral